Molecule: transfer RNA, 72 nt
Filed under: Escherichia coli 97.0007
Lineage: Bacteria; Pseudomonadati; Pseudomonadota; Gammaproteobacteria; Enterobacterales; Enterobacteriaceae
Description: tRNA-Val
Rfam family: tRNA
About the family: Transfer RNA (tRNA) molecules are approximately 80 nucleotides in length. Their secondary structure includes four short double-helical elements and three loops (D, anti-codon, and T loops).
Source: RNAcentral
GGGUGAUUAGCUCAGCUGGGAGAGCACCUCCCUUACAAGGAGGGGGGGGCGGUUCGAUCCCGUCAUCACCCA